This 718-nucleotide ribosomal RNA is filed under the name uncultured Pseudomonadales bacterium. RNAcentral's name for it is "bacterial SSU rRNA". It matches the Rfam family "Bacterial small subunit ribosomal RNA", at positions 60 to 773 of the family's 1533-position model. The record is from RNAcentral. Lineage: Bacteria; Pseudomonadati; Pseudomonadota; Gammaproteobacteria; Pseudomonadales.
AGUCGAGCGGAUGAGAAGAGCUUGCUCUUCGAUUCAGCGGCGGACGGGUGAGUAAUGCCUAGGAAUCUGCCUGGUAGUGGGGGACAACGUUUCGAAAGGAACGCUAAUACCGCAUACGUCCUACGGGAGAAAGCAGGGGACCUUCGGGCCUUGCGCUAUCAGAUGAGCCUAGGUCGGAUUAGCUAGUUGGUGAGGUAAUGGCUCACCAAGGCGACGAUCCGUAACUGGUCUGAGAGGAUGAUCAGUCACACUGGAACUGAGACACGGUCCAGACUCCUACGGGAGGCAGCAGUGGGGAAUAUUGGACAAUGGGCGAAAGCCUGAUCCAGCCAUGCCGCGUGUGUGAAGAAGGUCUUCGGAUUGUAAAGCACUUUAAGUUGGGAGGAAGGGCAUUAACCUAAUACGUUAGUGUUUUGACGUUACCGACAGAAUAAGCACCGGCUAACUCUGUGCCAGCAGCCGCGGUAAUACAGAGGGUGCAAGCGUUAAUCGGAAUUACUGGGCGUAAAGCGCGCGUAGGUGGUUUGUUAAGUUGGAUGUGAAGGCCCCGGGCUCAACCUGGGAACUGCAUCCAAAACUGGCAAGCUAGAGUACGGUAGAGGGUGGUGGAAUUUCCUGUGUAGCGGUGAAAUGCGUAGAUAUAGGAAGGAACACCAGUGGCGAAGGCGACCACCUGGACUGAUACUGACACUGAGGUGCGAAAGCGUGGGGAGCAAAC